Molecule: long non-coding RNA, 1508 nt
Filed under: Mus musculus (house mouse)
Lineage: Eukaryota; Metazoa; Chordata; Mammalia; Rodentia; Muridae
Description: long non-coding RNA chr4:133140020-133141528
Source: RNAcentral
AAGUUGAAAAUUAAAACUAACCACAAGACUCUCAUAUGAGAGAGAACUAACUCCUGCAAGUUGUGCUCUGACUUCCACACACACAAAUACAUUUCAUUUAAAUUAAAAAAAAAUACUGCUGGGCAAUGAUGGCGCACACCUUUAAUUCCAGCAUUUGGGAGGCAGAGACAGGAGGAUCUCUGAGUUGAAGACCAAUCUGGUCUACAAGAGAGAGUUCCAGGACAGCCAAGGCUUCACAGAAAGACCCUGUCUCGGAAAAUCAAAAACAACAGCAAAAAGAUUUAUUUAUUUUAUGUUUUGAUACAGUAUGUGUAUGCUGGUGCCCAUGGAGGUCAGAAGAGGGUAUCAGAUCACCUGGACUUGGAGUUACAGAUAAUUGUGAGCUACCAUGUACGUAGGCUCUGGGUCCUCUGUGAGAGCAGCAGAUACUCUAGACUGCUGAGUCGUUACUCCAGUUCUUUAGAUAAAUAAAUAAGUAAUAUAUUAUUAUAUAUAUACAUAUUUUGAGACUGAGUUUCUCUGGAGCUGCCUCUAUAGACCAGAGUAGCCUCAAACUCACAGAGAUCCAUCUACCUCUGUCCCCUGAGUGCUGGGAUUAAAGGCAUACAUAUACCACACUGUCCAACACUAAGCUGGUUUUGGUUUAUUUUUUAAAGAUUUAUUUACUUAUUUUAUGAGUACAUAGUUGCUGUCUUCAGACACACCAGAAGAGGGCAUCAGAUCCCAUUACAGAUGGUUGUGAGCCACCAUGUGGUUGCUGGGAAUUGAACUCAGGACCUCUGGAAGAACAGUCAGUGCUCUUAACUGCUGAGCCAUCUCCAGUCCUAAGCCAGUUUUUAAGAGUAAGUUUUUUAAAAUAAAAAUAUCUGGGCAUGAUGGUGCAUCCCUUCGGUGUCAGCACUCAGGAAACAAAAGCAGGCAGAGCUCUGUGAGUUCUAAGCCAGCCAUGGUGACACAGUGAAGACCCUGCCUCUGAGUAAAUAAACACUUAAACAAAUUAUUGUCUCCCACAUUUUUAGUUUUGUGGUGUGGGCAUGUGUGUGCUGUAGGACAUAUAUGGAGGCCAUAGACCGACUUGCAAGAUUCUGUUUUCUUGUACUGUGCGGCUCUAGGGAUGGAAGUCCGGCUUGCUGGGCUUGGGGGAAGCAUGUUUGCCCCGGCCGUGCCCGUUAGCCUGCACUUGGGAGCUGGUACACUGGAAGCUGCACACUGCUGGGAACCUAAAGUCACGCAAGCUUGCCAAGAGCAAGGGCUUGCAGUGCUCCCUUCACUUGCAAGGCUUGCAGCCGACAUCACCAUCUAUAAAGUCUGUGUUUAAGACGUGUGCAAUUCAGAGACAGGAGAGGUGGCUUGGAAAUUAAGAGUGCUUACUGCUCUUCCAGAGGACCCCAGUUCAUUUACCAUCACCCACAUAUGGGGCUCACACUGUCUGUAACUCUAGCCCUAGAGAAUCUGAUCCCUUCUAGUGUCUUUGAGUAUUUGUACACACUCACAAAUUCAUACACGUG